Molecule: ribosomal RNA, 253 nt
Filed under: uncultured bacterium
Lineage: Bacteria
Description: partial 16S ribosomal RNA
Rfam family: Bacterial small subunit ribosomal RNA
Source: RNAcentral
UACGUAGGGGGCAAGCGUUGUCCGGAUUUAUUGGGCGUAAAGAGCGUGUAGGCGGCCAGACAGGUCUGCUGUGAAAACUCGAGGCUCAACCUCGAGACGCCGGUGGAAACCGUUUGGCUAGAGUCCGGAAGAGGAGAGUGGAAUUCCUGGUGUAGCGGUGAAAUGCGCAGAUAUCAGGAAGAACACCCGUGGCGAAGGCGGAUCUCUGGGCCAUUACUGACGCUGAGGAGCGAAAGCGUGGGGAGCGAACAGG